GAUGAACGCUAGCGGCAGGCUUAACACAUGCAAGUCGAGGGGUAUUUCUCUUCGGAUAGAGAGACCGGCGCACGGGUGCGUAACGCGUAUGCAAUCUACCUUUUACAGAGGGAUAGCCCAGAGAAAUUUGGAUUAAUACCUCAUAGUAUAUAGACUCGGCAUCGAGAUUAUAUUAAAGUCACAACGGUAAAAGAUGAGCAUGCGUCCCAUUAGCUAGUUGGUAAGGUAACGGCUUACCAAGGCUACGAUGGGUAGGGGUCCUGAGAGGGAGAUCCCCCACACUGGUACUGAGACACGGACCAGACUCCUACGGGAGGCAGCAGUGAGGAAUAUUGGACAAUGGGCGCAAGCCUGAUCCAGCCAUGCCGCGUGCAGGAUGACGGUCCUAUGGAUUGUAAACUGCUUUUAUACGAGAAGAAACACUGCUACGUGUAGCAGCUUGACGGUAUCGUAAGAAUAAGGAUCGGCUAACUCCGUG
This 478-nucleotide ribosomal RNA is filed under the name uncultured bacterium. Its description in RNAcentral is "partial 16S ribosomal RNA". It matches the Rfam family "Bacterial small subunit ribosomal RNA", at positions 28 to 507 of the family's 1533-position model. The record is from RNAcentral.